UUAAGCGACUAAGCGUACACGGUGGAUGCCCUGGCAGUCAGAGGCGAUGAAGGACGUGCUAAUCUGCGAUAAGCGUCGGUGAGGUGAUAUGAACCGUUAUAACCGGCGAUUUCCGAAUGGGGAAACCCAGUGUGUUUCGACACACUAUCAUUAACUGAAUCCAUAGGUUAAUGAGGCGAACCGGGGGAACUGAAACAUCUAAGUACCCCGAGGAAAAGAAAUCAACCGAGAUUCCCCCAGUAGCGGCGAGCGAACGGGGAGGAGCCCAGAGCCUGAAUCAGUGUGUGUGUUAGUGGAAGCGUCUGGAAAGGCGUGCGAUACAGGGUGACAGCCCCGUACACAAAAAUGCACAUAUUGUGAGCUCGAUGAGUAGGGCGGGACACGUGGUAUCCUGUCUGAAUAUGGGGGGACCAUCCUCCAAGGCUAAAUACUCCUGACUGACCGAUAGUGAACCAGUACCGUGAGGGAAAGGCGAAAAGAACCCCGGCGAGGGGAGUGAAAAAGAACCUGAAACCGUGUACGUACAAGCAGUGGGAGCCUCUUAAUGGGGUGACUGCGUACCUUUUGUAUAAUGGGUCAGCGACUUAUAUUCUGUAGCAAGGUUAACCGAAUAGGGGAGCCGAAGGGAAACCGAGUCUUAACUGGGCGUUAAGUUGCAGGGUAUAGACCCGAAACCCGGUGAUCUAGCCAUGGGCAGGUUGAAGGUUGGGUAACACUAACUGGAGGACCGAACCGACUAAUGUUGAAAAAUUAGCGGAUGACUUGUGGCUGGGGGUGAAAGGCCAAUCAAACCGGGAGAUAGCUGGUUCUCCCCGAAAGCUAUUUAGGUAGCGCCUCGUGAAUUCAUCUCCGGGGGUAGAGCACUGUUUCGGCAAGGGGGUCAUCCCGACUUACCAACCCGAUGCAAACUGCGAAUACCGGAGAAUGUUAUCACGGGAGACACACGGCGGGUGCUAACGUCCGUCGUGAAGAGGGAAACAACCCAGACCGCCAGCUAAGGUCCCAAAGUCAUGGUUAAGUGGGAAACGAUGUGGGAAGGCCCAGACAGCCAGGAUGUUGGCUUAGAAGCAGCCAUCAUUUAAAGAAAGCGUAAUAGCUCACUGGUCGAGUCGGCCUGCGCGGAAGAUGUAACGGGGCUAAACCAUGCACCGAAGCUGCGGCAGCGACACUAUGUGUUGUUGGGUAGGGGAGCGUUCUGUAAGCCUGUGAAGGUGGCCUGUGAGGGUUGCUGGAGGUAUCAGAAGUGUGAAUGCUGACAUAAGUAACGAUAAAGCGGGUGAAAAGCCCGCUCGCCGGAAGACCAAGGGUUCCUGUCCAACGUUAAUCGGGGCAGGGUGAGUCGACCCCUAAGGCGAGGCCGAAAGGCGUAGUCGAUGGGAAACAGGUUAAUAUUCCUGUACUUGGUGUUACUGCGAAGGGGGGACGGAGAAGGCUAUGUUGGCCGGGCGACGGUUGUCCCGGUUUAAGCGUGUAGGCUGGUUUUCCAGGCAAAUCCGGAAAACCAAGGCUGAGGCGUGAUGACGAGGCACUACGGUGCUGAAGUGACAAAUGCCCUGCUUCCAGGAAAAGCCUCUAAGCAUCAGGUAACAUCAAAUCGUACCCCAAACCGACACAGGUGGUCAGGUAGAGAAUACCAAGGCGCUUGAGAGAACUCGGGUGAAGGAACUAGGCAAAAUGGUGCCGUAACUUCGGGAGAAGGCACGCUGAUAUGUAGGUGAAGCGACUUGCUCGUGGAGCUGAAAUCAGUCGAAGAUACCAGCUGGCUGCAACUGUUUAUUAAAAACACAGCACUGUGCAAACACGAAAGUGGACGUAUACGGUGUGACGCCUGCCCGGUGCCGGAAGGUUAAUUGAUGGGGUUAGCGGUAACGCGAAGCUCUUGAUCGAAGCCCCGGUAAACGGCGGCCGUAACUAUAACGGUCCUAAGGUAGCGAAAUUCCUUGUCGGGUAAGUUCCGACCUGCACGAAUGGCGUAAUGAUGGCCAGGCUGUCUCCACCCGAGACUCAGUGAAAUUGAACUCGCUGUGAAGAUGCAGUGUACCCGCGGCAAGACGGAAAGACCCCGUGAACCUUUACUAUAGCUUGACACUGAACAUUGAGCCUUGAUGUGUAGGAUAGGUGGGAGGCUUUGAAGUGUGGACGCCAGUCUGCAUGGAGCCGACCUUGAAAUACCACCCUUUAAUGUUUGAUGUUCUAACGUUGGCCCGUAAUCCGGGUUGCGGACAGUGUCUGGUGGGUAGUUUGACUGGGGCGGUCUCCUCCUAAAGAGUAACGGAGGAGCACGAAGGUUGGCUAAUCCUGGUCGGACAUCAGGAGGUUAGUGCAAUGGCAUAAGCCAGCUUGACUGCGAGCGUGACGGCGCGAGCAGGUGCGAAAGCAGGUCAUAGUGAUCCGGUGGUUCUGAAUGGAAGGGCCAUCGCUCAACGGAUAAAAGGUACUCCGGGGAUAACAGGCUGAUACCGCCCAAGAGUUCAUAUCGACGGCGGUGUUUGGCACCUCGAUGUCGGCUCAUCACAUCCUGGGGCUGAAGUAGGUCCCAAGGGUAUGGCUGUUCGCCAUUUAAAGUGGUACGCGAGCUGGGUUUAGAACGUCGUGAGACAGUUCGGUCCCUAUCUGCCGUGGGCGCUGGAGAACUGAGGGGGGCUGCUCCUAGUACGAGAGGACCGGAGUGGACGCAUCACUGGUGUUCGGGUUGUCAUGCCAAUGGCACUGCCCGGUAGCUAAAUGCGGAAGAGAUAAGUGCUGAAAGCAUCUAAGCACGAAACUUGCCCCGAGAUGAGUUCUCCCUGACUCCUUGAGGGUCCUGAAGGAACGUUGAAGACGACGACGUUGAUAGGCCGGGUGUGUAAGCGCAGCGAUGCGUUGAGCUAACCGGUACUAAUGAACCGUGAGGCUUAACCUU
This 2902-nucleotide ribosomal RNA is filed under the name Escherichia coli HVH 20 (4-5865042). RNAcentral describes it as "bacterial LSU rRNA". It matches the Rfam family "Bacterial large subunit ribosomal RNA". The record is from RNAcentral. Lineage: Bacteria; Pseudomonadati; Pseudomonadota; Gammaproteobacteria; Enterobacterales; Enterobacteriaceae.